GACGAACGCUGGCGGCGUGCUUAACACAGGAAAGUCGAACGGUGAUGCUCCAGCUUGCUGGAGUGGAUCAGUGGCGAACGGGUGAGUAACACGUGAGCAACCUGCACCAGACUCUGGAAUAAGCGCUGGAAACGGCGUCUAAUACUGGAUACGAAACUGGCCCGCAUGGGCAUGGUUUGGAAAGUUUUUCGGUUUGGGAUGGGCUCGCGGCCUAUCAGCUUGUUGGUGAGGUAAUGGCUCACCAAGGCGACGACGGGUAGCCGGCCUGAGAGGGCGACCGGCCACACUGGGACUGAGACACGGCCCAGACUCCUACGGGAGGCAGCAGUGGGGAAUAUUGCACAAUGGGCGAAAGCCUGAUGCAGCGACGCCGCGUGAGGGAUUACAGCCUUCGGGUUGUAAACCUCUUUCAGCAGGGAAGAAGCGAAAGUGACGGUACCUGCAGAAGAAGCACCGGCUAACUACGUC
RNAcentral lists this ribosomal RNA (468 nucleotides) under uncultured bacterium. Its description in RNAcentral is "partial 16S ribosomal RNA". It matches the Rfam family "Bacterial small subunit ribosomal RNA", at positions 28 to 507 of the family's 1533-position model. The record is from RNAcentral.